RNAcentral lists this transfer RNA (72 nucleotides) under Sorghum bicolor (sorghum). It matches the Rfam family "tRNA". Rfam says of the family: Transfer RNA (tRNA) molecules are approximately 80 nucleotides in length. The record is from Rfam by way of RNAcentral. Lineage: Eukaryota; Viridiplantae; Streptophyta; Magnoliopsida; Poales; Poaceae.
CGGCAUUUGGUCUAGUUGUAGGUUCCUUGAUUUGGGAUCAAGAGGCCCAGAGUUCAAUUCUCGGAAUGCCCC